GUGGAAUCUGCUGUGAAUCUGCCGGGACCACCCGGUAAGCCUAAAUACUCAGUGUGACCGAUAGUGUAUGAGUACCGUGAGGGAAUGGUGAAAAGUACCCCGGGAGGGGAGUGAAAUAGUUCCUGAAACCAUGUGCUUACAAUCCGUCAGAGCACCGUGUGUGUGUGAUGGCGUGCCUUUUGAAGAAUGAGCCUGCGAGUCAGCGGCAUGUCGCGAGGUUAACCCGUGUGGGGUAGCCGUAGGGAAACCGAAUCCUAAUGGGGUGUUAAGUGGCAUGUCCUGGACCCGAAGCGGGGUGAUCUACCCAUGGCCAGUGUGAAGCAGCUGUAAGAGGUUGUGGAGGCGCGAACCCACGUAGGUUGAAAACUGCGGGGAUGAGCUGUGGGUAGGGGUGAAAGGCCAAUCAAACUCCGUGAUAGCUGGUUCUCCCCGAAAUGCAUUUAGGUGCAGCGUCGUAUUAUAGCUUGGUGGAGGUAGAGCUACUGGUUGGUUGAGCGGGACUACAAUCUUAGCAAUGUCAGCCAAACUCCGAAUGCCACUAAUUGUGUUGUACGGCAGUGAGACUGUGGGGGAUAAGCUUCAUAGUCGAGAGGGAAACAGCCCAGAUCGCCGGUUAAGGCCCCUAAGGGUGUACUAAGUGGAAAAGGAUGUGGGAUCGCGAAGACAGCCAGGAGGUUGGCUUAGAAGCAGCCAUCCUUGAAAGAGUGCGUAAUAGCUCACUGGUCGAGUGGUUCUGCGCCGACAAUGUAGUGGGGCUCAAGUACACCGCCGAAGCCGCGGCAACUUUUUUGUUGGGUAGGGGAGCGUCGUGCAUGGGUUGAAGCGUUACCGUAAGGAGGCGUGGACUGUGUGCGAGUGA
This 859-nucleotide ribosomal RNA is filed under the name Corynebacterium kefirresidentii. Its description in RNAcentral is "partial 23S ribosomal RNA". It matches the Rfam family "Bacterial large subunit ribosomal RNA", at positions 426 to 1291 of the family's 2925-position model. The record is from RNAcentral. Lineage: Bacteria; Bacillati; Actinomycetota; Actinomycetes; Mycobacteriales; Corynebacteriaceae.